Molecule: ribosomal RNA, 846 nt
Filed under: uncultured bacterium
Lineage: Bacteria
Description: bacterial SSU rRNA
Rfam family: Bacterial small subunit ribosomal RNA
Source: RNAcentral
AGUCGAGCGAGCGGAACCACAGAUUUACUUCGGUAAUGACGUUGGGAAAGCGAGCGGCGGAUGGGUGAGUAACACGUGGGGAACCUGCCCCUAAGUCUGGGAUACCAUUUGGAAACAGGUGCUAAUACCGGAUAAUAAAGCAGAUCGCAUGAUCAGCUUUUGAAAGGCGGCGUAAGCUGUCGCUAAGGGAUGGCCCCGCGGUGCAUUAGCUAGUUGGUAAGGUAACGGCUUACCAAGGCGACGAUGCAUAGCCGAGUUGAGAGACUGAUCGGCCACAUUGGGACUGAGACACGGCCCAAACUCCUACGGGAGGCAGCAGUAGGGAAUCUUCCACAAUGGACGCAAGUCUGAUGGAGCAACGCCGCGUGAGUGAAGAAGGUUUUCGGAUCGUAAAGCUCUGUUGUUGGUGAAGAAGGAUAGAGGUAGUAACUGGCCUUUAUUUGACGGUAAUCAACCAGAAAGUCACGGCUAACUACGUGCCAGCAGCCGCGGUAAUACGUAGGUGGCAAGCGUUGUCCGGAUUUAUUGGGCGUAAAGCGAGCGCAGGCGGAAAAAUAAGUCUAAUGUGAAAGCCCUCGGCUUAACCGGGGAACUGCAUCGGAAACUGUUUUUCUUGAGUGCAGAAGAGGAGAGUGGAACUCCAUGUGUAGCGGUGGAAUGCGUAGAUAUAUGGAAGAACACCAGUGGCGAAGGCGGCUCUCUGGUCUGCAACUGACGCUGAGGCUCGAAAGCAUGGGUAGCGAACAGGAUUAGAUACCCUGGUAGUCCAUGCCGUAAACGAUGAGUGCUAAGUGUUGGGAGGUUUCCGCCUCUCAGUGCUGCAGCUAACGCAUUAAGCACUCCGCC